GAUGAACGCUGGCGGCGUGCCUAACACAUGCAAGUCGUACGAGCUCGAUCUUCGGAACGGGUUAGUGGCGCACGGGUGAGUAACACGUAGGUGACCUACCCCAGAGUGGGGGAUAACUUCUCGAAAGAGAGGCUAAUACCGCAUACACUCGGUCAUUCAUUUGGCCGAGCAAAGCUCCGGCGCUUUGGGACGGGCCUGCGUCCGAUUAGCUAGUUGGUAGGGUAAUGGCUUACCAAGGCUUUGAUCGGUAGCUGGUCUGAGAGGACGAUCAGCCACACUGGCACUGACACACGGGCCAGACUCCUACGGGAGGCAGCAGUGAGGAAUAUUGGGCAAUGGGCGAAAGCCUGACCCAGCAACGCCGCGUGGAGGGAUGAACGCUGGUGUAACUCUUUCUGGAGAAGAG
RNAcentral lists this ribosomal RNA (406 nucleotides) under uncultured bacterium. RNAcentral's name for it is "bacterial SSU rRNA". It matches the Rfam family "Bacterial small subunit ribosomal RNA", at positions 28 to 446 of the family's 1533-position model. The record is from RNAcentral.